Carassius carassius (crucian carp) is the source of this 1143-nucleotide long non-coding RNA. RefSeq lists it as uncharacterized. NCBI's taxonomy places the organism in Eukaryota, Metazoa, Chordata, Actinopteri, Cypriniformes, Cyprinidae. The transcript has 3 exons. The record is from RefSeq and is a predicted model, not a curated record.
ACGUUUGCAUGUGGGCUGCUCGCUUGUGCAUACUGAAUAAUGCAUUUGCUGAGGUUACCAACUAAUCUUUUUUUCUUACUGAAUUCUGCUCUCACUUUGGUCAAAAAGAAACACAAAAGGCAAGACAAAAUAAGUGCAGGAGGCCAAUGAUUAGCACCUUCAUUUACCUCCAAAAGGAAACAGCUGUUGUGGUGCCAGGCAACAAGUGGUCCCAACUUGCAGAUUGCGGGGAUUAACUGAAUUUGCCACUGUCAGUUUCCUUACGGGCCUGAUGUUCAUUCACGGCAUGAACGCUGAUCGGUGCGUGUACAAGCCACCUCUGGCUGCAUGCUGAUGCCUGGAUCUCUGUGCCAAAUCUCCUCCUGUCCUCUCCUUCAACGACUCAUUUCAGAGCUUAACGAAGAGGCUGACACAAAACAUGAAGAAGGGCCCUUGAGCGUGCCAGCAUUGCAUUUAGCCCAGGUCAUCCAACGUUGGAUGCUGCCUCGUAAACAGCGACUUGGUGUUGUGGUGACUCAAAGCCAGGUUAAUCCACCAUUGCCACAGAUGGAAUCUGAUUGGGGAUUUUCAUCUUGUUAUUUUUGCCUUCAUCCGCCUGAGUCUGCCUUACUUAGGCUUUGGACAAUUCCUCCAGGGAAUGGAAGGGUGAGCACUUUUGUAAUAUCAUGACUUGAUAGGAAAUUCACAGCCUGAAAGGGUCCUCACUGCCUUUUUUAUACUUAUAUAUAUAAAGACACUCUGAUAAGACCCACAAAUUGGGAUGAGGCUCCCAUGCCCACCUGCUUUUGAAGAGAAAUGAAUGGGCUUUUUUUUAAUGUUUUUUUUCUUUCUUUCUUUCUAUAUGCUGCAUGGAUGUCUUUGACCAUGAUGCAUUUGUUCAGUUCCAGUUUUUCUUGAACGCAAGAGCUCGUCCUGUGCGAACAACCCUUAAUAGUGUUUCAUAAGCCUCUUUGUGUAAUUACAAUGCACCUGAUGGAACAUGAUGGAGUCAUUUAGAGAGUGAAUUAAAAAUUCCUCCUUAAAAGCUUUAAAGAAUUGCACACAUUACAGAUUAUACUGGUUUGCUCAUCAAAUCACACACAGAAAAAAUCUUCCACAUUUCAUAUGCGACAGGUUAAAUAGAUAUUAUAAGUGUCUGACAGC